Molecule: transfer RNA, 69 nt
Filed under: Heterocephalus glaber (naked mole-rat)
Lineage: Eukaryota; Metazoa; Chordata; Mammalia; Rodentia; Bathyergidae
Rfam family: tRNA
About the family: Transfer RNA (tRNA) molecules are approximately 80 nucleotides in length. Their secondary structure includes four short double-helical elements and three loops (D, anti-codon, and T loops).
Source: Rfam by way of RNAcentral
GAGGAUUUAGCUUAAUGAAAGUGUCUGGUUUGCGUUCAGUUGUUGUGAAUAUAAUGUUUACAAUCCUUA